AGAGUUUGAUCCUGGCUCAGAUUGAACGCUGGCGGCAUGCCUUACACAUGCAAGUCGAACGGUAACAGGUCUUCGGAUGCUGACGAGUGGCGAACGGGUGAGUAAUACAUCGGAACGUGCCCGAUCGUGGGGGAUAACGGAGCGAAAGCUUUGCUAAUACCGCAUACGAUCUACGGAUGAAAGCAGGGGACCGCAAGGCCUUGCGCGGACGGAGCGGCCGAUGGCAGAUUAGGUAGUUGGUGGGAUAAAAGCUUACCAAGCCGACGAUCUGUAGCUGGUCUGAGAGGACGACCAGCCACACUGGGACUGAGACACGGCCCAGACUCCUACGGGAGGCAGCAGUGGGGAAUUUUGGACAAUGGGCGAAAGCCUGAUCCAGCCAUGC
This 385-nucleotide ribosomal RNA is filed under the name Acidovorax sp. R-28240. Its description in RNAcentral is "bacterial SSU rRNA". It matches the Rfam family "Bacterial small subunit ribosomal RNA", at positions 8 to 397 of the family's 1533-position model. The record is from RNAcentral. Lineage: Bacteria; Pseudomonadati; Pseudomonadota; Betaproteobacteria; Burkholderiales; Comamonadaceae.